UUAUAUAAAUAUAUUUCAUAGCCUAAAUAUAAAUAAUUUAACAACUUAAAUUAGAAAAAAAUAAAAAUCCCGGGCGUAGCCCGGGUUAACCCCUAGUAUUUUCAAAAGUUUACUUUAAAGAUCGAUAUUGCGAAGAAUUUCGAUUCUACGAGGUGAAUUUUAUCUGGAUUAUAUCGUGUAUCAGUUCUCUUUUGUUUCCGGCCAGAAUCAAUGGGACUACAUCGGACCAACCAACAGGUUUCCAACAAGGAGACCUUAUAUCUCCUCUUGGAGUUCAAACUGUGAAUAUCAAAUCAUGUGAAAGAAAGACAGACCAAGAAGAUAAAAUAGUUUAUAACAGUUUAAAAAACAGUUCAAAUAAAAUAAAUUACAUAUUUAAAAUCAUGUUAUUGUAAUUUUAAAAUCAAAAUUUGAAAACACUAGUAAUUAACGAAAUACAUAAAUCGUUCAUUAAUAUAUAUUUAAACCACAAUACUAUAUAUUUACGUAAUCCUUUAUAUAUUACAACAAUUAAAGCAUACAUAUGUCCCUAUCUUUAUUUAAUAUUUCUUUUUUUGCUAGUCAUAAUUUUUUUCUAAGCUUUAUUGUUUUUUUCUCUUUUUUUGUCAACCCUUAUUUUUAUAAUUUAAUAAUAAACUUUUAAAAAUUAUUAUGAUACAAAUUUAUAACUUAACUUUAGUUACCGAUUAAUUUAAACAAUCAGACCUAAUAAGUAUUAAUAUAGACUAAUUAAUUUUCUUCUUUCUUCCAAUCAAUUUAAUUGAUUAAACCUAAUAUUAAUAUAAUUUUUAUAUCUAUUAAAAUUAAACCGGUGACCUAAGGAGACUUUAAUAUUUGAAUAUAUAAUAUAAUUUAAGUUUAAUAAAUUAAUAUUCUGUAAACUAAUAAAUAUAGUAUAUUAAUAAAUUUUAUCAGUUUUGAGUUUUGUCAAUUCAAUAGGUAAUAUAAUAUACUAUAUAUAUAUAUAUUAUUCUCUCUUUGUGAUCCCCAAAUUAACUUUCUAAUUUUUUUAACAAAAUUUGCAACCUCAUUACAAUAUUAAACUAUGAAUUAAAUUUAUAUCAAUAUAUUAAAAAUCAACUGGGUCCCAUAAUAAAUUUUAACCAAUGUAAUAUCUCUGUCCAUUUCUCUUUUUUUCUUUAACGUGACCUUUUCCCUUUUAUUUUUCUACAUGACUGAAACUUCAUUAACUGUUUAAAAAUAAUUUAUCCAUUUUUAAAAUUUAUAAUAUCUGUUUUUUUAAAACACAAUUAUAUAGAAUAUCAUUAAAAUAAACUGUAUAUCUUGGAUAAUGUAAAUAAUGUUUACUGAGAAUUUCAGAGGAUUGAAAAUGAGUUUUAAUUGUGUUUUUUAGGUUUUAAGAUUAUUAUGUUCGUUUUUGCAGAAAUUUUAUCUGGAAUAUAACUAAAAUGAAGUGUAUAUCAUUAAAAUGUUUUUAAGAACUGUUUUUAUGGGGUUUGGUUUAUUUUACUUCAUUUUGAAGUAUAGUAAGACUUUUAUAUGGUCAUAGAAUAUGAUAAUAGUGGUUUAAUAGAAGGAGAGGUACACAACAAAUCGGUGCAACUAUUUUGGCUCAAGAUUAUUCUGGUAGUUUUGACACACACGAUUUUCUUUAUUAGGUUUUCAUUGUGUGUAAUUGGACUACUACGAUUAUUGAGUUUAUUGUGUGUAAUCAGAAGAUUACAAGAUUUAUUGUGUGUAAUUCGAACUAUUAGAAUCACUGAGUUUAUUAUGUGUAAUUUGGACACUAGGAUUACUUGGUUUUAUUAUGUGUAAUUUAAAACUUCUAUAUAUUGCAAGUACUACGUAUAUUUAACAUAUAUAACUCAUAUAUUUUCUAUUAGUAGACUAUGUAUAUAGUCAGUAAGACUAUUAAAACUAUUUAGAUGAUUAUUUUCUAUAGUUUUAAGAAUAUUUAUCAUUUUUUCAAAAUGAUUCUCUAACUUUCAUGGUUGUUAUGUGAAUCAUAAGGUUAUAGUGAGAAGAAUCUAUAAAAAUACUUAUUUCUGAUAAAUUGUUUAUGUAAUACUCUUCCUUAAUGACAUUCAUUAUAUAAAAUCAUUGCUUUUAUUACGAAGUAUUUCACUUGGACAUGGUUUUACUAAUAAAAAUUAAAAUUUGCCAAAGUAUUACUAUGUAUAAGUUAGUAUUAUUACUAUCUUGAAGAUUACCAAGAAUUAUUAAGUGUAAUUAUAAUAUUAAAUUUAUGUAUAUAACGGAUAUAUGUUUUACCUGAGUGCUUUUUAAAUUAUUAUUUUAACAUGUGCUAUGCAUGCAUUUUUACAUGAUUGUUUUUUAUAUUAUUAUUUUAAUGUGAAUAAGACAAAACGAAUUUUAUGAAACAUUAACGUUUUUAAAAUCUAAAAUAAGAAGAUAAAUGUUUUAUAACUUUUUAAUUAUUUGUAAAUGAUGGAAGGUGUAAUGUGAUAUAUUACUUAAACUCAACAUUUACGGACAAACAAAAUGUGUUUCGAAAAGAAAAUAUUAACAUAUAUUUAGAUCUUUCUCUAUAUUUAAUCUGAUCUGAUUACAAAAUGUAUGUGUUUAUUUCAUAAUCUGUUCAGCUUGCCUCUGCACUAAACAAUGGGGAAUUAAUCAACUUGUGUUUAACAUGUACUAUGCAUUUAACAUGUUAUAAACUGUAUGUGUUUAUUUCAUAAAAGUUUUUUUUUACAUUAUUUAAUUUCAUAAUAUUAGAACGCAGUGCUAGGAAACAACCGUCUUUCGUCGUUUGCAUGGAUGCGGAGUUACCGAUUUGGUUUACAUAGUCAAUAUGAGUCUGUGAAUGUCUUGUUGUCAAAAAAAAAAAAAUUCAUAAUUAAUAUGUGUUAUCCGUUUUUGGUAUUAUCAUUUUUUUGCACAUAAUAAACCAAAUAAAUCCAGUUAUCCGUUGCCAAAAAAAAAAUCCAGUUAUCGAAACCUAUUUAGCAACAUAUACCAUGUUUUUGACAUCCAAAGCACAAAUUUUUGUACAUGUAAUACAUAUCAAGAAUGUUACUUUGGUUUUCCAAACAUAACAACAAAAAUAAAAUCAAUAAUAUUUUUGUCAAUACAAUAAUUUUAUACAAAAGCUAAUUGAUAAAAAUCAUCAAGAAGCUCCCAACGUUUCUCUGGUCCAGGACAAGGAUCCAACGAAGAUAAUGCCCCAAGAAGCUCUCAUUCCUUCUUUAUCAUUCAAACAACUUUGUGAGUUGCAAACUCUCGAGAGCCGGAGAAGACCUCAUCAACUUUUCUGGUCCAGCACAAGGAUCCACCUUUCUUCUACAAGACGAGAUUCUCAGCAGGUCUGUGGUCACAACAUUUCCCAACGCCUUUAAUGCCAUCAAAGCUACCUUCACAACCACUAAUCUCAAGCUUUCACAAGUCUCUUACACCAUGUUGCUAAUAUCGUUAAAGUGAAACGCAGAGACUCUCAGCUUCUUCGGCAUGGGAAACAUAAUUCUCUUUGAUAGUCUUCUUUGUCUACUUCCAAGCUCUGUCUAGGCAAUGAAGCAGACCACCAGCUUGAGGGUUCUAGCUACAGAGUUAUUUCUAGAAGCCUGACCAGAAGAAGCUAAGGAGCUUGAAGAUGAACCAAUGUUACCAACAGGCUGCUACAACCACUUCCUUCCCACCAAGACUCCUAUCUCUCCUAACUACCAACUUGGGUCUCCCUUGUAAACAACCCUUAAAAAUACAAAAAUCCUAACUGAAUGGAGAAGGAUAAAAGAGGGGCUUUGGUGGUGAAGAAUCGCGGGGAAGAUGGAAAAGAACACAAAGUGGUCAUUUGUUUUGUUUUGCGGACUUCGAUGAAUUGAGUGAGUUGAAGAGGUCCAGUUUGGUUCUCGUUUCGCCGUCGCAAGAAAGAGAGGGAGAGUUGGGAAGAAGACGUGAAAUCAGAAAAGUGACGAUUGAGAAGGGAACGCCGUCGUUUAGUUAGAGCAAGAGCAUCAGUGAACUCCCCUUGGAUUCAUCUUUUCAAUUUUUUAUUAUUAAAUUUUUUUCUUAUUUUUUUGAUUUAAAAAAAAAAAAAAAACUAGACCAAUCGCGGACCACCACGACACGUGGGACCCGCGCUACAUGAUGAAUUUUAGAAGAGAGGGAUUCAGUCGAGCUUUAGGAGAGAAUGGUUCAUAUGAUUGAGUUAUUUUUUUUUUCUUGAUUUCUGUGUGAACUCCCUCCAUAAAUCCUCAAUGGGGGUGCUCUUAGGAUCCGGGUUAGGAUUUGGAUUGGAUCAUUGUAAUUAAGCUAUUUCAUUAAGGGUUAUUUAGUCUUUGGCCACA
Brassica napus (rape) is the source of this 4262-nucleotide long non-coding RNA. RefSeq lists it as uncharacterized. Lineage: Eukaryota; Viridiplantae; Streptophyta; Magnoliopsida; Brassicales; Brassicaceae. The transcript is spliced from 2 exons. The record is from RefSeq and is a predicted model, not a curated record.